This 222-nucleotide ribosomal RNA is filed under the name uncultured bacterium. Its description in RNAcentral is "partial 16S ribosomal RNA". It matches the Rfam family "Bacterial small subunit ribosomal RNA", at positions 28 to 250 of the family's 1533-position model. The record is from RNAcentral.
GACGAACGCUGGCGGCGUGCUUAACACAUGCAAGUCGAGCGGUAAGGCCCUUUCGGGGGUACGACGAGCGGCGAACGGGUGAGUAACACGUGGGUGACCUGCCCUCAGCUCUGGGAUAAGCCUGGGAAACUGGGUCUAAUACCGGAUAUGACUCCAUGACGCAUGUUGUGGGGUGGAAAGCUUUGUGCGGCUGGAGAUGGGCCCGCGGCCUAUCAGCUUGUU